Lolium rigidum is the source of this 1443-nucleotide long non-coding RNA. RefSeq lists it as uncharacterized. The record is from RefSeq and is a predicted model, not a curated record. The transcript is spliced from 4 exons. NCBI's taxonomy places the organism in Eukaryota, Viridiplantae, Streptophyta, Magnoliopsida, Poales, Poaceae.
CCCCGUUCCCCCUUAUCGUACCAUCUUCUUGGCGAGCGGGCGGCGGAGCGAUUUCAGCAGGAAGCGCGCGGAUUUGGCAAGCCAUGGAUUUCCCGCUAAAUCCGAUUAGCAGUAUGCAUAUCUAUGCGAUGUAUCCUGCUGAGGCAGCAGUGUUGAAUCUGCAAGGGAAGGACUCGGUAAGCAACAACGUUGGUCCGGUGGCGGCGGGUGCGGCCGAUCUUGGGAACCUGGUGGGCAGUAGCAGUGUGGCUGAUGUCGGUAGCUGCAUGGCUGGCCUGGUACCGUUGACCGGCGAUUCCGGGGAAUCAACUCGACAGGACGAUCCACAAGCCCCCGGAUGGAAGAAGAGAGUCCGGCCGUGCACCGCCAGGUAGAACUCAUUGCGCUGAACGGCAAAGCGCAUUAGAGAAAUCAGUCCGGUGUUACGCAGAGAAACUCGGCGAUGAGGUCAUUGACCCCCUGCUUGGGAACAACAUUUGACUCGAUAAGUGAGGCAUAUGAUUUCUAUAAUAUGUAUUCCUGGGAGCGUGGUUUUGGGGUUAGAUACGGAAAGAGCCAACUAAAUUCAGAGAAGACGAAAUGCAUGCAGGAAAUCGUAUGCAGAUGCUCGGGGAAGCCGACAGGUGAAAAUACGAGGCCAUGUCGCUGUGAAUGUCCUGCGAUGAUCCGGUUAUUGAGGUCUGCAGACAACGUGUGCUGACGGAGACAUGUGGUGAGACUACAUUCUGGCCUUCACACGGGCACAUAGAUAUGUUCACCAAGGACUUGGUGAAACAGCUUAGGGAUAACAACAUUAACAUUGGGAAGGCGUACAUCAUUAUUGGAAGUUUCUUUGGAAGUGUUGACAACCUCCCCUUCACGAAGCAGUCGCUACGGAAUUUGUGUAGACAGAUUAGCCGAGAAGAUGAAGAUGAAGAUGUCCCGAACGGAGGCCUGGGCACAAGAGGAAAACUUGCCCAGAAAGGGGUGAUGAGUCUAAGCCACCAAGUAUGUCGGGAAGGUGCAGUGUUUGUGGUGUCCCUGGCCAUUGGAAGAGCACAUGCGUUAAACCGGUGUGAAAUGGUUCCAUGUACUUGCCAAAAUCCCACGCCAUGUCGACCUGAAAUGCUUGAGCUCCGUCAGGUGACUUCAGCAGCUUUGACCUGGUGCUCAUCUGAAUGUUUAACUUGAGUAGAACAUGAGCAAAGCCAGUCCAAGGUGUUCACAUGCGUGGAUGCCCUGAGUAGAACUGUAUUACCUGAGGGGCUUAGCAUCCCCAGGUAUUUAUCAUAGCUGGUUUUCCUGUAAUAGAACGGUAGCAAUAUUGGAGGGCUUGGCCACUGCAGAUGUUUAAGGGUACGGUUCACUUAAGUAGAACUGUACGAAAAAAGGGUCCUAGCAUCUAUCAGGUGUUUUUCUGAAUGGUUUCCUGUAAUAGAACAUUAGUAAAAUUGAGGAUUGGGC